Callithrix jacchus (white-tufted-ear marmoset) is the source of this 1809-nucleotide long non-coding RNA. The record is from Ensembl. NCBI's taxonomy places the organism in Eukaryota, Metazoa, Chordata, Mammalia, Primates, Cebidae.
AAGAUUUUGAAUAUUUUUGACCCAUGACUGGUUGAAUGCUCGGAUAAAGAACCCACAGAUGUAGAGGACCACAUGUACUGAGUCUUACAUGCUUUACUAAGUACUCUCAGGACUCUGGUGAUGAAGGAAAUUGGUAAAUAGAAGAAAAACUUGGAUUUGGAAGACACUGUUUAGAGUGAAAUGCAUCUGGCACUGGGGAAAGACUGUCUCCUAAUAGACAGAAAACACCUGAAACUGAGCAGCAGCUUCCCAGUAAGAUCUCAGGAAUGUGAAGAAGUAAUGCAAGAUCCCAGAAGUGUGCCAAGGUAUAAAACCCCAAGUCAGGGUCAAGCUGGGCACUUGGUUUCUCAAGUCACCAGCUUGGCCCUCUUCCAAGUUGUCCUUUCCUUCUUUUCUUUCCUUCCUUUCCUUCCUGUGCUAAACCUUUUUAAUAAACUUUCACUACUGAUCUGAAACUUCUCUUGGCCUCUUUUUCUGCUUUAUGCCCCUCGUCGAAUUCUUUCUUCGGAGAAGGUGAAGAGCUGAAGUUGCUGUGGACCUGUACAGAUACACUGCUGGUAACUCGGAGUAACCUGGAUCUCUGCCACCCUAACAACGAUAGGUAGGUGUCUGGUUUCAUUUUCUGCAUAUGAUUAUCCAGUUAUCCUAGAAGCAUUUAUUGAAUAGGGAGUCCUUUCUUGAUUGCUUAUUUUUGUCAACCUGGAUGAAGAUUGGUUGAUUGUAGGUGUGCAGCUUUAUACUGAUCUGUGUGUCUGUUUUUGUACCAGUAGCUUGCUGUUUUGGUUACUGUUAUGCUCCAUUCUUAAGUGCCAUUGAAUAUUUAUGCAGAGUGCUCCUUUUCAGGAAAUAUUCUUAUUGCUACCUAGCAAAGUCCUACCUCAUUCUUCCAAGCACAUCCCAAAUUUGGAUACUGCCUUUUCUGUUUUUCUCUCUCCUCCAAAAGCUCAUUGCAUUUUGACUUUAUUAAAGAACCUUCAGAUAGCGCAGACCUAUACUGGACCUUAGAGAUAACUAUUAUACAGCUAUCAUAGUCUACUCUACAUAUAGAAGGCAACAUUCUAUUUUGCCACUCAUAUGACCAAUUAUGGUUAAUUCUAUCAGAAUGAGAGUUUUGCAAGGCUCUUCCUGAAUCCUUUUUCACCUCUUGAAGACAGGAUAUGUGCAUCUGCAAAAACCUCUGUCACAAUACACAUCAGGUGACACUGAACCUCCUUGCUGGUUUUCCAGUGCUUUCUCUAGUUCAGAAUCUUCUGAUGUCUUUUUUUUUUUUUUUUUUUUUUUUUUUUGCUGUACACACAUAGCUUUGUACAGGGCCUGACAAAUGGAAGACAUUCAACAAAUGACUGUGGAAUGAAUCAAUACAUCAUCUGAUUGUUGAAUUACUCUUCAAGUCAAUUUUUCAUGACUCUUAUGCCUCAUAAAUAGAAUUAAAAUAAGAAAUAUCUCAUGCUAGAUUUGAGUGUGCUUCCUAAAACUGCAAAAUUUUCUUGUUUUGUUUCUGUGCUUCAUUUCCCUAGAAAAUAAGAUGCCAUCUUACACCAGUCAGAAUGGCUGUUAUUAGAUAGGAAACAAUAUAUAUAUAAUGCUGGCAGGGGUGUGGAGAAAAGGGAAUGCUUAUGCACUGUGAUGGGAAUGUAAACUAGUUCAGCUAUUGUGGAAAGAAGUUUGGUGAUUUCUCAAAGGACUUAAAACAGAAUUAUCAUUUGACCCAGCAAUCCCAUUACUGGGCAUUAACCCAAAGGAAUAUAAAUUGUUCUACCAUAAAGACAUAUCCACAUAUAUGUUCGUUGCAACACUCUUCAUAAUAGC